This is a long non-coding RNA of Astatotilapia calliptera (eastern happy), 1024 nucleotides long. The record is from Ensembl. NCBI's taxonomy places the organism in Eukaryota, Metazoa, Chordata, Actinopteri, Cichliformes, Cichlidae.
UUCGGUAUGAGUGUCCGGUGAACUGAAUGUCAGGUAAGACGUUAUGUAUAUUUAAGGUAGUGACUGGAAUAAGUCACAAGGUGUCGCUGUUGAGCUGCAUAUAUGUUGUAAAUUUUAGCAAUUUUGACCAUUUGUCCUCUGCAGGACACCGUAGUUCAGUUUUCUCGUUCGCGUGGGCGCCAUCUUGGUUCAGUGUUUACUGUGAUGUGCAAAGGUAAGCACUGUCAGUGGCGAACUGCAUUGGUUUUGUUUAAAAAUAAGUGUUCCACUGUGUAAAAUAGCGGUUUGUCAUUUAAGCCGAGCAUAUAUUUUGUUUAUUGAGAGGUUCAUGUAUUGUCUGAUGAGAGUAUGAGACAAAGAUAUACUUUUCUUUCUUACUCUCAUAUAAAAUAUUUAGCUUUUAUUAAAUAGUUAUCUGAAUCUUACAACCAAAGUUUGCAUAAUAAUACACAAGAUUGGCUGUAGACCAUUGUUAAUCAUUCAGAACACUGUGUAAAAAUAACAAAAAACAAAAAUGAAUGAAAAGUGCAUAAAUAUUUAUUUUAGGUGUUUGAUGUGUGUGGCAGGGCGUGGUCUGCAGUGCCGCUGCAGGGGAGGUGGACCCACCUCAGCGGCAUCUGCAAUCACGCCUCUCAGGUGUAAAGUCUGUGCUCUCUCUGCUUUUUUUUUUUUUUUUUUUUUUUGUGUAUGUGUCGGGCUGUGAGAUGAAAAGCUACAGCCGGCUGUGUGGGUACAGCAACUAUGUGUGAAAAGUGGUCCAUAACGUAAUGCUUCAAAGUGUGUUCAUGCAAACAUUGUUGGGUCUGCUUAUGAACCUCUGCGCACAGCGUCUACAAAUUGGGGCUGUACGAAGUCACCUCAUCUUUACACAAAACUGUAAGCUGUCAUCUGUGAGGCGCGAGCGGUGUUUGGUUUUACCAUAGUUCAUGGUGGAGAAUGGCUGCUCUGCUGAGUUUUGCUCUCUGUAGCUGUUUGAAUGGCAAACUAUACUGAUUAGCGGCGGCAUAGGCACACUUAAAAUUUC